Molecule: ribosomal RNA, 181 nt
Filed under: uncultured bacterium
Lineage: Bacteria
Description: partial 16S ribosomal RNA
Rfam family: Bacterial small subunit ribosomal RNA
Source: RNAcentral
CAUGAAGCCGGAAUUGCUAGUAAUGGCAGGUCAGCAUACUGCCGUGAAUACGUUCCCGGGCCUUGUACACACCGCCCGUCACACCAUGAGAGUUGGGAAUACCCGAAGCCUGUGAGCUAACUUUUAGAGGCAGCAGUCGAAGGUAGAAUCAAUGAUUGGGGUGAAGUCGUAACAAGGUAAC